CCCUUAAAUAAUACUGGGAGAUCAGAGUGGAUGUGCAGAGCUGAAGUACACUAAGAAAGGCAUUGAAAAUUUGGCAAAGAUGUUACAUCUUUUAGAAAGAUGUGGAUGGAUGCAGGAAAAAAUAUCGAGUAGCAAAACUUUUACAAUCCAAGGUUAGUUAUGAGGGAUUGGACACAGAGAUCAGUGUGGUGACAACAGGAAUGGAUGAUGGGAAUACCAUGCUCCUUUUAGAUUUCCAGAUGUGCAUUAGAACUGGUAUUUGAUGAAUAAGGGAAGAACAGAAGGUCUUUUAGAAGGAAAAUAUUUUCUUUCCUUUUGUAGGUAACACCCAAAGGGAUCAGUAUGCCUAUCCGUCGGUGUGUUGGUUCUUUCCUUCCGGUUGAGACAUUUUGUAGAAAAAAGAGAGAAAUUUACUGGAAAUCCCCAUCCCUUCACAAAUAGUUGUUGCUGUUUUUCCUGUAACCAAUAGGGAUAAAGACUGAAACCACAUCACUUAUCUCCAGCAGAUACAGCUGACCAGAAGGUCUUAUAUAAAGUCUUGGAGAAAAGUUGCAGGAGAACAGGAUGACUAAAUUAGGUGUUGAUAAGAAAGGCUGAAAACUUCCUUUGUGGAAUAAAUUAGGACAUGACAUAGGUGGUUAGCAAAUAAAGAAUAUUUGCAGAGUAAAGCAAAAUGUGCAGUGAGGAUUGGAGGAGCUGGGCAUUUAGACUGAUAGAGACAUAAUGCCUGGUUUUCCAUUCCUGUGCCUGGAUAGUAUUAAAAGCACAAAUAAAAAGCUAUCCUGCUGCUAUCUGCCUGCUAUUCAUAUUAUAGAAGAGAUGGAGACUGUCAGAGAGAUCUAUUAUGCCAACUCUGGUUGCCAUAGGUUUAUGCACAGACAAAUGAAGGGAAAAUAAAAUAGUGAGUUAUUGUUUAUUUUACACCAGGCACUGAAUUUUCUACCUUCACUUUGUUUCAUUUAAUUCUCAUCAUAACCCUGCAGUGGAUGUAUGUAUCAAACUGUGUUUUCAGUUAACUGCUACAUUCCCAACACAUUCAAUAAUGUCCAUCACUUAUAGUAUUUAAUAAAUAUUGAUUAUGACUGGGUGCAGUGGCUCACACCUGUAACCCCAACACUUUGGAAGGCUGAAGCAGGCAGAUCACAAGGUCAGGAGUUCGAGACCAGCCUGACCAAUAUGGUGAAACCCCGUCUCUACUAAAAAUACAAAAAUUAGCUGGGUGUGGUGGCGGGCACCUGUAGUCCCAGCUACUCAGGAGGCUGAGGCAGCAGAAUCCCUUGAACCCAGGAGGUGGAGGGUGCAGCGAGCUGAGAUUGCGCCACUGCACUCCAGCCUGGGUGACAGAGCAAGACUCUGUCUCAAAUAAAUACAAAUAAAUAAAUAAAUAAAUAUUUAUUUGUUUAUUACUGGGAUAUGAUUAGGAAACCAAAUGUGUUACAUUUUUAACAUUGUAUAGUGACAUAGAACACACAUAUAGUAAGACACGUAAAGAUUAAAUGUACAACUUAAUCAAUCAUUACAAUGCCAACAUCCAUGAACCCACCACCCAAAUCAAGAAACAGCAUGAGGCCAGCACCAGAAGCUCUCCCGUGCCUCCUCCUGUCCACAUUACUCUCCCUUCCCACCAAGACAACUCACCAUCAGACUUUCAUAGCAAUCCCUUCAUUGCUUCUCAAUACACCUUCAAAAUCUAAUAUUUAUUCCUAAACAUGCUUAGUAACAUUAUACAAAUUAAACUAUACAGUAUGUUCUCUUUUGUGCCUCUUUUGUGAUCUA
This 1776-nucleotide long non-coding RNA is filed under the name Homo sapiens (human). RNAcentral's name for it is "non-protein coding lnc-HLA-DQA1-9:1". The record is from RNAcentral. Lineage: Eukaryota; Metazoa; Chordata; Mammalia; Primates; Hominidae.